This 495-nucleotide ribosomal RNA is filed under the name uncultured Glomeromycotina. RNAcentral describes it as "partial small subunit ribosomal RNA". It matches the Rfam family "Eukaryotic small subunit ribosomal RNA", at positions 591 to 1092 of the family's 1831-position model. Lineage: Eukaryota; Fungi; Glomeromycota. The record is from RNAcentral.
CCAAUAGCGUAUAUUAAAGUUUUUGCAGUUAAAAAGCUCGUAGUUGAAUUUUAGGCCUGACCGGACGGUCCGUCUCUGGCGAGUACUGUUCUGCUGUCGGGUCUAUCCUUCUGGUGAGCCGGUAUGCCCUUUAUUGGGUGUGUCGGGGAACCAGGACCAUUACCUUGAAAAAAUUAGAGUGUUUAAAGCGGGCUUUUGCUUGAAUAGAUUAGCAUGGAAUAAUAGAAUAGGACGUUGGUUCUAUUUUGUUGGUCUAGGACCACCGUAAUGAUUAAUAGGGAUAGUUGGGGGCAUUAGUAUUCAAUUGUCAGAGGUGAAAUUCUUGGAUUUAUUGAAGACUAACUACUGCGAAAGCAUUUGCCAAGGAUGUUUUCAUUAAUCAAGAACGAAAGUUAGGGGAUCGAAGACGAUCAGAUACCGUCGUAGUCUUAACCAUAAACUAUGCCGACUAGGAAUCGGGCGACGUUAUUUUCAUGACUCGCUCGGCGCCUUAUG